Molecule: transfer RNA, 64 nt
Filed under: Megacyllene sp. KM-2017
Lineage: Eukaryota; Metazoa; Arthropoda; Insecta; Coleoptera; Cerambycidae
Description: tRNA-Cys
Source: RNAcentral
GGUUUUAUAUUCAAUUAUGAUUUUAAAUUGCAAGUUUAAAGGUAAACUUAAAGUUUUAAAGCCU